Molecule: transfer RNA, 68 nt
Filed under: Buccinum pemphigus
Lineage: Eukaryota; Metazoa; Mollusca; Gastropoda; Neogastropoda; Buccinidae
Description: tRNA-Lys
Rfam family: tRNA
About the family: Transfer RNA (tRNA) molecules are approximately 80 nucleotides in length. Their secondary structure includes four short double-helical elements and three loops (D, anti-codon, and T loops).
Source: RNAcentral
UCUUAGAUGACUGAGGGAUAAGUGUUAGAUUUUUAAUCUAAAAACGGCUGAUUAUAUGCCUCUAAGAA